GACACUGGCAGCAUUUUGACAGCUGUAUUGUGCACUUUGGGUUUAAAGGGACAGUCUAGUCAAAAAUACAUUUUCAUGAUUCAGAUAGGGCAUGUAAUUUUAAACCACUUUCUAAUUUACUUUUAUAAUCAAUUUUGCUUUGUUCUCUUGGUAUUCUUAGUUGAAAGCUAAACCUAGGUAGGCUCAUAUGCUAAUUUCUAAGCCCUUGAAGGCAGUCACUUAUCUCAGUGCAUUUUGACAGUUUUUCACAACUAGAGGACGUUAGUUCAUGUUUGCUAUAUAGAUAGAUAAUAUGGUGCUCAUGCCCAUGAAGUUACCUAGGAGUCAGCACUGAUUGGCUAAAAUGCAAGUCUGUCAAAAGAACUGAAAUAAAGGGGGCAGUCUACAGAGGCUUAGAUACAAGGUAAUUACAUAGGUAAAAAGUAUAUUAAUAUAACCAUGAUAGUUAUGCAAAACUGGAGAAUGGGUUAUAAAGGGAUAAUCUAUCUUUUUAAACAAUAAAAGUUCUGGUGUAGACUUUCCCUUUAACUCUUUUUAUACAGAGCAGGAACUUUACAUCUGUGCAGUAAUUGCUUUGUUCUCUAUAUAUUAUUACAUAUGCUUUAUUACUUUUAAACUCGUUAUAAACAUUGCAAAAAUGUAAACCAUCCAAUCUGUAUUGUUUUUAAAAAAUGUUUAUUUUUUAAAACUUUUCUGUUAUAUUUUUAAUUAAUUUUCUCCAUAUUUUAUUAAACUAGGAUGAGAAAGUUGAAUUUGAUUUAAAGUAAUAAAAAUAAUUUUGGAGGUUACUUGAUAGUUUUCAAUAAAUCUAAGGUAUUAGAGCCUGAAGAUCAAAACUUUGCAGGGGCAGAUAUGAAAAGAGCGACGUUAGCAGGGAACAGGGGGCGCACUUUAAAAAUUAAAUCCUGCAACUAAUACCCAUCAGAUGACUCUGCUUUCAGCAUAAAGUACCCACAAUUGCCUCUAUUUUAGUAUACAUGCAUUUUUCUAUUAGAGUAAUGAGUAUUUUGCAUAGUUUGACAAAUCUCGCUACCUUUAAAGGGAUAUAAAACACAAACAUUUUCUUUUGUGAUUCAGACAGAGCAUACAGUUUUCACAAAGCUUCCAAUUUACUUCUAUUAUUAAAUUUGCUUUGUUCCAUGGCAAUUCUUUGUUGAAGAGAUAGCUAGAUAGGUGUCUGGAGCACUUCAUGGCAGGAAAUUGUGCUCUUGCAAAUGGAUAACACUUUUGCAAAACUGCUGCUAUAUAGUGCUCCAGACAUGUGCACGCUCAUGAGCUUACAUCCCUGCUUUUCAACAAAAGCAAAUACCAAGAGAAAGAAAAAAACAUUUGAUAAUAGAAGUAAAUUUGAAACGUUUUUUAAAAAUUGCAUGCGCUAUCUGAAUCAUAAAAAAAAGUGCUUUAUGCAUCUUUAAAGGAAAAAAACACCAAGAUCUGCAGGGGAAAAAUGUUUAUAGAAUACAGAAGAGGAGACAUUUUAGCUACACCAAGCCCACUAGCGAGACAGUGAAACUCAUUUUACAAUAAAGAAUUAUAUAUUAUAAAUAGUUUUUCCACUGUGCAGUGUACUUUUGUUUGCUGUUGUGCACUUGUUUCUUGUGAUUAAACAAUACAAUUCUUUCUGUGUAUUUUUGUUUCAAUACUUAAUGUAUUCAUUUUAUUUAAAUUUUAAAUUAUGAUUUAUUUUUUUUGAGUCCCCAUGUAGUGUAUGCAUCGCGUUCACAUACAUAAAAGCAGAGAAAAUCCCUUUGCAAGACGCACUGUUCUCAAGGCACUUUUUUGGCUGCAAAUCUUGAGCAAUACAUGUUCCAAGGUGCAGAGGAUUUAACACAAGGAAACAGCUUUCAACGAGGGUCCUUUCCUUUGAGGUGUCGCAUAAUCCGUGUUUCCAGCUGUUACAGAUUAAUGAUUAGACUCUGCAGUAAUUGCGUGAAAUAGGGCCAUUAAAUGGUCGUAUCUACAAAGAGCUUUAUUUAAAACAAAUACUACAAAUUGCAACAUCUUAAAGUGCUGGCAUAGUAAUUAUGGGCAAAGGGUUUAUUACUCAAUGUUGCCUUACUUGGCAGAAUUAUUUACUGAGUUUUAAAGUAACAAAUGUUUUACAUAAUUGUACCCUAAAAGUUUUAUUUAGGUGCAUUUUAUUCAUGUGCAUCCAACUAGCAAUGUUUUAAAUGUUUGUGUUAUGGUGUAAAGAUCUAAAUGUACAGUGACUCCCUAUUUAUGUGGGUCUUUUUUUUUUGUAUUUGGUCCCCUGAGCUAUCUGAGCCCUUAAAUGAACAUUCUGGGAAUUAUUUUAUGUAAAUGAAAAAGUAGCAAUUGGAUUUGCUUACAUUUCUUUUGCGCAAAGAAAAGGUUAUGUAAAACAUUUUUUAAUUUAAAUGUACUGUGAGACUUGCAGGAAAUGUCUGUAUGUGAACAACUGAUACUAAGGGCUAGAUUACAAGUGGAGCACUAAAUUGUGCGAUUAUUAAACAGUCAUUACAAAUGGCUGGUUAUUGCUACAGCGAGCUCGCGGUAGCAAUUAGUGCUCAGAAAAGUAACCAGAAGUCAAAAUAGAGGGCAUUGUAGUUUUUUAUUAAAAAAAAACAAUGUAGCAUUUGUUUGACGCACAUACAAUCAUAUUACUCAGUUUUCGUUGUACUUUACAUUCAUUUUUAUAUAUAUAAAAGUACAUAGCUUUUACUACCAGUGCGAUAAGAGCAUUAUAUAUUUUGAGACAAACUUGCAAGCUUUGAUUUCACAAGCUAAAACAUUGAGAUCUUCAGGUGUAGCAUGCUUAGAGAAUAAAGCGAGACCUAUGAGAAAAUUUCAGAUACACCCAAGAAUAACCCUGCUGAACCCAAGGCUGCAAAACUCGAUUUACAAUCCAAAAAUAAAGUAAACUUUGCAUUUUGUACUUUUAAGUACUAUUUUAAGGUUGUAUUUUAAAACUAUAUUAACCCCUUAAGGACUGGGCAUUUCAGACUAAAACUUCCCCAAAAGAACAGAGCAUUUUUAGCAUUUUUUGCUAUCACUCCAUUUAAACAGAAAUAGAGCCUUUUUUUUAUUUACCUAUCAAAACUAUAUUUUUUUUUUAGGUAGACAACCCAAAGUAUUGAUCUAGGCCCAUUUUGGGUAUAUUUAAUGCCACAAUUUCACCACCAAUGCGAUCAAAUAAAAAAAAUUGUUAACUUUUUCACAAACUUUAGGAUUCUCAUUGAACUUAUUUACAUACCGCUUGUAUAAUCUUGUAUGCUAUCUGCCAGUACCCAGUUUUCUAUAUAUUUUUUCUUUAAUAAAAAAAAUUAAAAAAAUAUAUCACAAUUGUCUCUAGUUUUUAGCUGCCCCCUCCCUCAUUUAACCCACCUUUUCCUCCACAAUUGAUAAUGGAAGUAAUUAGGAGACUUGUUUUCAAAUGGCUUACUUGAUUUGAAUCAUAAAAGUUUAAUUUGGAAUUUACUGUCCCUUUAAGUAAGAACUGCGUAAUGUAUAUUUGCAAAUCGGUUUGUAUUAUUAAUAUACAUUUGAAUGUGUACUGUUAACACUAUUUUUAAUACAUACUCUGUUUUUUUAUUGAACUGUCAAUACACUUUUACAGUGCUAUUUAUUAACCUCUGUACUCUUCUUUGUAUACAGAAAUGUAGAAUAUGUCCAUUUGCAAGUUCAAGGUCAAAGGUGCCUUUAGAGAAUACAGUGAAGAACUUUGUAGCACUGGCAGAUUUUUUAGAGAAUUUCACCUGAGCAGAUAGCUUUAGAGAAUCGUACCGUAAGACAUUACUAGACGUGUUCAUUCAGUGGUUUCGGAUAGCUCCGAAUGCUGAAGAAGGUGGCCCUUCUUGUGGGUUUGCUUUCAGCAAUCUGCAUUCAGAGGUAUCCGAAUCCUCUGAAUCACACAUAUAGACAUUACCUUCUUUGUAAGCAUAAACUAUUCCUUAUCCCAGUACAUCUGACCUUUAUGAUGGAUACAUCUUGCUCAAUGCUUUUCAAUCAUAACUUGGGAAUAUGCUAGUAAAUUUAACAAACACUUAUUAAUCCCUAAUCUGCCGUCCCCAACGUCACCGCCAAUAUAUUAAAGUUAUUAACCCCUAAAUCUAAGUCUAACCCUAACACCCCCUAACUUAAAUAUAAUUUAAAUAAAUCUAAAUUAAAUUACUAUUAUUACUAGGGUUGCACAGAUACCGAUACUAGUAUCGGUACCGAUACCAAGUACUUGCAUGAGUACUUAUACUCGUGCAAAUGCACCGAUACUUAAACCGAUACCUCCACUUACUACCCAUAUGCUAUCUUCUGGUGUUUUUUUUCAAACUGCAUGUUCCCAUUUUAUUUAAAGCUGGAGUGGAGACAUAACUAAAAAUUGUUUACUACUGUUCUGCCAAUACAAAUUGCUCUUAUUUGUAUUAUUGUAGGAGAGAUCACUAUUGCGUUCAGACAAACCCCUGAAGUACUGGGCAGUUAUUAAACUGUGAUUUCCAGCUCUGGCUAAAAUGGCCCAAAAAUAUCUUUCUGCCCCAUGCAGUAGUGUGGAAAGAUGAACCUCCUUACUGAUAGCAAAAACAGACUUAUAGCUGAACAUGCAGAGAUGCUUCUGUUCUGUUCCUUAAAAAGAACUUGCCACUAACUUUUGAAAAAUUAUUCUAAUUGCUAGAUUGCCUUUUAUACUACUAGUUCUCAUCUUGCACAAUUAUGUUCAAAACAUACUGUACUCUGAGGAACAUCUUAGCUUAUAUAAUUGCAGGAAGAGUACUCAUAGGAAAACUUAAGUUAAUCCCAAUGAACACUCAUACUGCAAUUAUAGGACUAGAUUUAGAUUACAUUUGAUUGGUAAGCUUUACCAAUGCUCUGUUCACAUUUCCAACUCCAUAGCCUUUAAUAGAGUAGGCAUUGGUAAAGCUUACCAGUCAAAUGUAAUCUAGCCCAUAGUGUUGUUCACCAUGAUUAAACAGUAUUCUGUUCUAUUUUUUACUGUAUGGCACUUUUGGUUGGUUGCAAUCUUAUAUUUGUUAUUUAUUGCUGUUGUUAAUAUAUUUUAUUGUAAUAUUUUUAUUUCUAAACAUGUUUUAAACAUGUUUUAAACAUGUUCUGUGAACUUUGUGACAAAUAAAACCUGUUUUAUUAUUUCAUAA
Molecule: long non-coding RNA, 5102 nt
Organism: Bombina bombina (fire-bellied toad)
Lineage: Eukaryota; Metazoa; Chordata; Amphibia; Anura; Bombinatoridae
Exons: 2
Source: RefSeq, a predicted model, not a curated record